AUUUUAUUGUCGUUAUAAAUAUUUAGCAACUGUGUAUUGCACGGGGUUUAAUUCAAUAAACUAUAAAACAAAAAUAAUUAAUAAGUUAGAAAGUAAAAAUUGAACUCACAUUCCAUAUCCUCCUAGUAAAUGCCUAUCCUUUAAAAAAAUAAAUUAAACUUUAUUAUUUUUAUAAAAAAAAAGAAUAUUCUAAAAAAAACAGGUGAUAUCUCAGGAGAGAGAAAAAUAAAAAAAAGAGAAGGAAAGAAUUCCGCGUAGACAGAUGAGGUAAUUAGACUUCUUUGAUAGAGACAUCUACAAGUAUAUUCAUUCAUUCAUUAACUCCAAAAAAAAAUAAAAUUAAAAACAUUCAACUAUUUUUUAUAACACCUUUCUCUCCCCUCUUUCUCUUCUCUCUCAAAAUUCUUUGUGAUAUUCUCUCUUAUGAACAUGAAUCGCCCUCCUUACAAACCCGUACACAAUAAUAUCAUCUCAUCAAUCUCUUAAUUAAAUUCUUUCACACUUAUAUUACUUUUCCCACUUUACUAACUUCUUUCCGAUACGAUCCUUCAAUAAUUAUAUCUUUCCAUUUCAUAUAAAUAUAUCGUAAUCUAAACCAUCACCUCUUUUAAAAUUUUCAAUCCAAUUUGAAUUUUAAUAUCGAAUUUUAUAUACGAAGUAUGUAAAUAUAUAGUUUUUCUUGUUUUAUGUUUUUAGUUUGUACUCCGUAAAUGGAAGGGCAUAUGCAUCAACAUCAUCAACACCAGUAUCAUCAUCAACAGCAACAUCAGCAGCCGCCGCCGCAACAACAACAAAUGAGUGGUACGGUGGGGGUGGAUACAGGGGAUAGAUUCCCACAGUGGAGUGUUCAAGAAACAAAAGAGUUCUUAAUUAUUCGAGCAGAUUUAGAUCGAAAUUUCAUGGAAACUAAAAGGAACAAGCUUCUCUGGGAAGUUAUCUCUACUAAAAUGAGAGAAAAAGGUUUUAAUCGUAGCGCUGAGCAGUGCAAGUGCAAAUGGAAAAACCUCGUCACCCGUUACAAGGGGUGUGAGACAAUGGAACCGGAGGUGAUGAGGCAACAAUUCCCAUUCUACAACGAGAUGCAAGCGAUUUUUACGGCGAGGAUGCAGAGGAUGCUGUGGGCGGAGGAAGAAGGCGGACCAGGCACAUCGUCUACGACAACGAAGAAGAACAAGCUAGCUCAAGGCCAAGGCAUGACAUCGGAGGAGGAGGAGGAUGAAGAUACAGACGGAGAAAAAGGCGGUCUUAAGAAGAAAGCGAGCAAGAAGGCGAAAACAAUGGCUAGUAGUGGUGGUGUUGGUGCUAAUGUUAGUAGUAUAAUUACGAAUACUAAUAAUAGUAUUAACGCGGUGAAGGAGAUGUUGGAGGAUUUUAUGAAGCAGCAGUUGCAAAUGGAGGUGCAAUGGAGGGAGGCGUACGAGGAGAGGGAGGAGGAGAGGAGGAGGGCGGAGAUGGAGUGGAGGCAGAGAAUGGAGGCAUUGGAGAAUGAGAGGUUGGUAAUGGAGAGGAGGUGGAGAGAGAGAGAAGAGCAGAGGAAAAUGAGGGAGGAAGCUAGGGCUGAAAAGAGGGAUGCUCUUAUUACUACUCUUUUAAAUAAGCUCCGAAGAGAAGAUUAACUGAUACGCUCGUGAACAACUCGUGAACAAGCUUGUGAAUUGUGCUCAUGUAAAUGUACUCAAAUUUGCAUGGUUUUAUUCUUCUUCAAAUGUUGUAGCUUAGCUAGAUCAUGCAAUAACAGGUUCCGGCGACUUUUCUGGUGGACGUAGGUCCGGUGAAGGUUCACGGCGGCGGCUCAAGGUUCUGGCGAAUUUUCAAGCGGUUUCAAGUGUAUUUUGGGUGCGUUUUUGGUGCAAUUUGGUGCUUUUUUAGGGGUCUUUCUUGGUGGGUUUCUUGAUUAGUUUUGGGGUGCGUUUCUGGUGCGGUUUCCAGGCGACAUCAUAGGCUUUCCGGCGUGGCAGUUCUUGGACUGUUUGGCGACGAUUUUAGGAUCGGUUUUGGUCAAUUUCAGGAAGGUUUCAGGCGAGUUUCUUGGGAAGGAUUUGUUCAGUUUUCUGGCGGUUUUCAGGCAAUGUUUUUUUUUACCGUCGUUCUUCUUCUCUGGCAGCAAGUCCGUGAUCCUGAUUUUUAAUUAUAAGUAUAUUUUCGAAAAUUUAUUAAUAUUAUAAAAAUAAAUUUUCAUAAUUUAUAAUUAGUAGUACGUAUUUCUCAAAAAAAUAGACGUAUCAAAAAGAAUACAUAAUAUAAAUACAUUUUUAAUACAUUAUAGACAUUAAAAAUAAUUCAAAAUGAAAAUCAAAAUACUAAAUACGGGCCAUGUCAUUAUAUUGUGGUGCCUUUUUUAAAGAAUGACAUUGUAGAAUUUUCAUGUGUUAUAUAGUGCGUAUGUAUGAUUGUUGAAACAUUCUAAAGAUGGAUGUUUACUCUCUAAUAAUAUUAAGAGCAUUGCAUGCUCUUUUCAUCUAAAGUAAGAUGUUUAAGGUGUUCUGGUUA
This is an RNA transcript of Chenopodium quinoa (quinoa), 2490 nucleotides long. It is a transcript of the gene named trihelix transcription factor GT-3b-like, with no coding region annotated. The transcript is spliced from 3 exons. Lineage: Eukaryota; Viridiplantae; Streptophyta; Magnoliopsida; Caryophyllales; Amaranthaceae. The record is from RefSeq and is a predicted model, not a curated record.